Long non-coding RNA from Lutzomyia longipalpis, 1168 nucleotides. RefSeq lists it as uncharacterized. The record is from RefSeq and is a predicted model, not a curated record. The transcript is spliced from 2 exons. NCBI's taxonomy places the organism in Eukaryota, Metazoa, Arthropoda, Insecta, Diptera, Psychodidae.
CAAAAGUAAAAUCAUACUUGCACACAAUUCCCGCAUAAAAGCAUAGAGAAUGCACACAUAAGCACAUUCUGCAAUAAUGGAUCAAUAAAUUCGAAUAAAGUGCCACAAUAAAAAAGUCCCCAUCACACAGAAUGCAAACUUUUGCGCAUGAUUAACCGAAGAGAAAAAAAAGCUCAAUAAAGUUGUGCGAGAUGGCAUAAAAUGGCAAGAGAUGGAAUUUUAUGGGUGCCUCACGAACUAAAAGCUGUACCGAUCGUAAAUUUUGCUCGCGGGAUUUUUCUUUAUGACUUCCUCGCAGCUUUUUGAGGUGCUUUUCGUACGCCAGAUGCAGCGAGAAAAAUCUAGCACAUUUGCGAAAGGUGCUCCAAAAGCACUACCAUCCUUGACACUCCUGCCGUUAAACUUUGAUGAUGGCUCCGUGGGCGUCUCACUAUGUGAGCUUUCUGCACUCUCAGGUGCUUUGAUGUUGCCACAGAAAUCCAUUGAGAUGUGCAGUGAAUGUGGUUGCUAACAAAGAAGCAUCCGUUGGGGUUUUAUUUUUUUUUUUGAAAAGUUUUUUAGAUGGAAGAUGUUUGAAUGCCGCGCAUGAUGUCCGCCAUUUUGUUGAGCCUAACAAAACGGCGGACGAUUUGUUAUAGAAAAACCCUCCUUUCAAUCAACAGCACCUCUCGUGGUGAGCACUUUCAUUGAAUUUUUACAUGACCGCAAAAUUGUGAAGAAUCAGUUAAAAUCAUAAUUUUAUGCUAAACCAGGUGUGCUACAUCGCUGAACGUACUUCCAAACUAUGAAAAGACAAAAAAACGCUCUAUUGAAAAAAACGGUUUUUCACAACCACCACCUUCCUCCCAGUUAAAGACACACCAAAGUGCAAGAAACCACUUUGGCGGAGUGACAGGUGAAUUUGCAUCGUGAAACUCACCUCAUUUGCGACCAUUGUACCCAAACAUUCCAUCGCUUGUGAUCGAUGGAAGUGAGGAAAUCGACAGUAGUGGAAAAUCCGCAGUGCGAUUGCUCAAGAUGCCAAAGAUCUCCAUAAGAGUUGCGUACAUACCUAUAAAUUGCCCAAUCGCUGUGAGAAAUUCACACGAAUCGCACGGGGGCUUGCAUUUGUAUGCACAGAGUACCCAACCCCUUGCCAUAUGUACUGAAAUAAAUUUAAAAAAAAAUU